AGUGAACGCUGGCGGUAGGCCUAACACAUGCAAGUCGAACGGCAGCACAGUAAGAGCUUGCUCUUACGGGUGGCGAGUGGCGGACGGGUGAGGAAUACAUCGGCAUCUACUUUUUCGUGGGGGAUAAUGUAGGGAAACUUACGAUAAUACCUCAAAAGAUUUAAGGGAGAAAGUAAGGGUUAUUCGUACAUUGGCCGCACGAAAGGACCGACGCCGGAUUUGUUAGUUGGGGGGGUAAAGGCCCACCAAGGGAGCAUUCCGUAGCUGGCCUGGCAGGAGAAUCGGCCACAUUGGAACUAGGACACGGCCCAAACUCCUACGGGAGCCAGAGGUGGGGAAUAUUGGAAAAUGGGCGCAGGCCUGAUCCAGCAAUACCGCGGGGGUGAAGAAGGCCUUCGGGUGGUAAAGCCCGUUUGUUGGGAAAGAAAAGCAGCAGGUUAAUACCCCGAUGUUCUGACGGUACCCAAAGAGUAAGCACCGGCUAACUUCGUG
This 492-nucleotide ribosomal RNA is filed under the name uncultured bacterium. RNAcentral's name for it is "partial 16S ribosomal RNA". It matches the Rfam family "Bacterial small subunit ribosomal RNA", at positions 29 to 507 of the family's 1533-position model. The record is from RNAcentral.